GGGCUGCUCCAUCCCCGGCUCUCCGACUCCUUGCCUGGCACCUUCCUCGUUGGAGGCCGUGAUCCAUCAACUUUGUCCACGCGUGUCCUGCAGACUAAUGCUGACUGGAGGUUCAGGAGUGGUCAGAAGAGGCCAGAGGAGGCCCUCGUGAUGCGAAGCUAAACGUUUAAUGAUGGCGCUGUUGAGUGCAUGAGCCGCGUCAGCCCAAGAGUCUGGUGCCCAGGAGGCUGAUGCCACAUAGAAGACCUGCAGGUCGGUGGAUGUGAAACAGGCAUCGGACACGCUGUGCACCUUGGGACGCAUCUGAGAAGUGUGUGCUUGCAGCAGAUCUGAGAUUCUGUGUCCAAAAACUUACCCGUGGACAUUGAGGGUGAUGCAUUUCUGCUCGAAGACAUCUGUGGACUCAGCUGGAGGGAUCGAAAGGAUGUGGAGCCUCUUCACUCCUGGCCUGGGCUUGGACCUGCUGUGCAGCCUCUCAGUGGCACCAGGGCCCCCUUGUGUCACAGUGGCCUCGGAGAUGCGAGUGACUUCUGCUCAGUGAGAGGCUCAUCUCAGGGACUUCAUGGCCUGAGGGACGGCAGCCUGUUUGAGCUGAUCGAGCAAUCUCGCGCUACCCUUAUUUUCUGAAACGCCUAUGAGUGACUUCUCACACGGUCUUUGAAGCGGCUUCAUGCCCGCGCUCCUUGGAAUUUCUGAAGCUGCUGAGUGUAGAAAGCACUGAGGAGGCUGUGCUCCCACCCCUGUGAGUCUUCCAGGCAUCAUCCUCUCCCCUUGGCGAGGCGGCGUCCAUGGCACACCGAGGAGGCUGUGCUCCUGUCCCCCUUUUCUUUGCAUCGUCUCCCUUAUCCAGAAGUGAGGGUGAACGCUGAGUUAUUCACGGGAGUCAAGAAACCACACGCAGCCCAAAGUGACGUUUGUUUCCCUGAAAUGAUUUGUGUGUGUUCACCUUAAAAUGCAAUCAGUAAAACAGGUGUGUUUUGAGGAAUGACUUUAAAUUACUCAGGUGAAAAUGUGACAGUUAAAUUUCAUCAUCUGUGCGGGUGUCCACAACCCCCUUCUGUGAUUGCGUGUGAGUUUGUGACUUGUGGUUAUUUUUGAAGAAAGAAAAUCUGUUGCUGAGGACUUCAGAUGGUGUGCUGGGAUUGUGUAGGGUGGACAUCGGGGGCUUCAGUGUGUGGCUUCCUUGAAGAGGUUCAAAUUAAGGCUGAGAGUCCCUACUCCAAAAUGCUCCAAAACCUGAAACAUUCUGAGCUUCCUCAUGACACUCGAAGGAAAUGCUCUUCGGAGCACUUUGGAUUUCAGGCUGGGGAUGGUCAACUGGAAAGUGAAAUAUUGCAAGACCCUUCUGGCCCCAGGAGCUUGGAUAAGGUCAUGGAGGGGGCCUGUGCCGGGUGUCCCUGGAGUGUGAGGCAGCCUGGGCUCUCUGAACUGGUUUUUGUAGGAGCCACAGAAGGGAAAGA
Molecule: non-coding RNA, 1460 nt
Organism: Macaca mulatta (Rhesus monkey)
Lineage: Eukaryota; Metazoa; Chordata; Mammalia; Primates; Cercopithecidae
Source: RefSeq, a predicted model, not a curated record